Molecule: non-coding RNA, 266 nt
Organism: Salmo salar (Atlantic salmon)
Lineage: Eukaryota; Metazoa; Chordata; Actinopteri; Salmoniformes; Salmonidae
Source: RefSeq, a predicted model, not a curated record
UUAAUUUAGUUACCAUGGACACAUAUUGUGACACUGAAGCACAUGGCUGCAGAGGACAAUUGUUCCAGAUGUGAUGUCCAGAAAUUGAAGAAAUAUCGAGGUUAUUCUGAAUGGAGGUUGCAGCAGCACAAUGGUCCUCAGAUGGCUGUUUCCCUGGCAACGUGGGGAGGGCGUGUCGAGAGAGAGGUAUAAAAACGCCGGCAGCUCCUCACUGAGGCUCACUCUGAGUGACGGCCUACUCCGACCAAACCCCAUGAACGCUGGGC